Molecule: ribosomal RNA, 1082 nt
Filed under: Triticum aestivum (bread wheat)
Lineage: Eukaryota; Viridiplantae; Streptophyta; Magnoliopsida; Poales; Poaceae
Description: partial small subunit ribosomal RNA
Source: RNAcentral
UAGCUAGAAGUGAGUGGCUCGGUGUGCGUACAGUACCUGGGCAAGGUGCCGUAUGAGUAGCGCCGCCGGUAGGAGCACGACAAGGAGUAGAAGCAGCAGAAGGGCGAGUCGAAGGAGGCGAUGAUGAUGAAGUCGUGGCCGCGGCGGCUCCACGGGCGCGGCUCCCCGCAGCCGGGCCUCGACGACCCGAGCGACGGCCAGUGCCACAUGGCGUGCCGCCUGGUGCAGCCCCACCACCUCACGCGCCACACGGACCGGCCCGAGGUCCUGCCCCUCGUCCGCUCCAAGGACGGGACGACGCCGGUGCCCAAGGUGCGGCCCACGUAGUCGCACACCGACCGCAGGGCGAGGUGGACGGGCGAGACGGCCCAGUGUCAGUAGCCGUUCUAAGGGCUGCGCGAAUCCGGCUGCUCAGAGGGAGGGUGUGACGUCCUCGGCCGCUUAAUGCGGCCCUUGGACGGCCGCUCACACGACUUGACGACUACGAGCCCUAAAGUCUGGUCCGGUGCGAGGCGCGCCACUGGCACUGGAGGCUACCUCUCCGUCGAGGCGGGAACGUUGCCGUCGCGUCGCCACGACCACUAACUAUAAGGCCCCAGUUUCAGUUCCUACCACCGCGCUGCUCAGGUUCAGAGGCCCGUACAAGUUCUCCGACACCUCGAAGCGCUCCGUUCUUGGCAGCCGCAGGUGAUGCCGGACGAGGCCGCCGUCACCGUAGCCUUGUCCGUCGUCUACAUCUCGCCCAUCGUAGUGGACACGACACGUACGUUGGGGCUCUCGAGGCCACGUCCACUUCGUAUCUCGGCCCUAACAGUGGCCUACACGGCGGGUCUCUAGUUGAGGUCACGGGUUCGAGAAGUGUAUAAACGUACGACCAUAUAUACCCUGUAUCUAUAGGAAAAUUUCUAAGUCAUUGUUUAUAUAUCCAAUAAGAGACUAUCUAUUAGCGGAUUCGUCUUUUAAUCAUUUUCAAUAAGAAGGUCGGGUUCUUAAUCAUCGAGGUACCCACGAACUAUCAAAAUGAGUGACUGGAAGAUCUGGGAGAGUGCAGUAAAAAUCUCGUAGAGGUUGUCUGCACACCA